UCCCUCGCUCUCCCUCCCUUCGGGUGCCCCGGGUUGGGGCCGGGCUAUUUAUACAGCUUGGCGCUGCCGUCACGGAGAGCGGGCUCGGCUGACGGGGGAUGCUGACGCUCUUGGCUGUCGGGAGCCUGGCUUGCUGGCGGCUUCGCCGGGGCGGCCAUCAUGGGCCCUCUUUAGGUGCCGCGGCGAGCGGGGCUCGGAAAGAAAGAGGAGGAGGAGGAGGAAGAAGACGACGAAAAGCCACCGGCAUUCGUGGGAGCGGGGGGGGGAACCUCUUGCCCUUAGGGGGUGGUGGUGGCCUGACCGCUUGCCCCGGGGAGGGACGCGAGGGCGGAGGAGGCCAGGAGUGCCGUAGCUUCACCACAAGGAGGGCGAGCACGCGGAGUAUUCGCGUUGCAAAGGAGCCACACUCCUGGAGCCCCAGAAACAGAAUGACAACAGUGAUAUUUCUGCCCUAGUGGGCAGGAGAGUGGUAUCUAAAUACUUAAAUAAUUUUAUCUAAUCAAAACUAAUCCAAGUUUACAAAAAGGAGCUAAGUCUUAGAAGUCAGAAAGGUAUGUAUAUUUCAAACCAAACUUGUUCACUGGCAAAUAAAUCUCUAUGUAAAAUGUCUAGAUCCUGAUUCAAAACCUUUCCUGUCAGUAGAUUUCAGAUAGUGUUCCUAAGACAAAUAUUUGUUAGAAUAGCAUCCCUAUCAUGUUUGUUUCCGUUAUCCAUGUUUGCCACAGCAUUUGUAUGUUAAAGUACAGUGAGAAGGAAAAUACGGCUCAUUCAUGAAAGGACUGUUUGGCAGAAUUCAAAAUCUAUAGGAAGCAUUUUUCCCAUAGCUGUGCUCAAUCACAUUAAUGGAGCGUGAAGCAGAGUUACCUGUAAGUGUUGCAGUUCCUAGGAAUUUCUGGCAUUCUGUCUGAAAGAGGGAGAAUGAUGGUAAAUAGUAUAAGAAUAAGGGCAUUUCAAUUAUUCAUAUGCUGCUGCACAUUCACUUCCAUUUGUAUUUUGAAAACAUACAGUUCCUGCUUCCCCAGAACAUAACGGCUGCAAUGAUAUACCGUGUGCACUUUUCACAAAACCAACCUGAUAAUUUAUUUCAAGGAAUGCAGUUGAAUUUGUUCAUUCUUCUAGGAUAUUAGACUUUGCUGAAACAGGAUAUUCAUGCUUAGCACAGUGCAUGCCUAUAGCUGAUGUCCCAAUAUGUUUGGGGAAUUUUAGAUGCUGAAUUCUGAUAGGGAAAACUGUUAAUCAAAAACUAGGCGCUACACCCUUAAGGGCUUUUUGGAGGGGGGAGCUACUUUAUUGAUAUAAAAUAGGUAUAUCAUUUCAGAUUCUGUGUUGCCGUCAUAGCUGACUGUGGAAAAACUAUUUAACAUUCACUGAUAUAAAAAACCUGAAGCAAUGAUGUUUAAGUUCAUGGGCCAGUCUAUUAUUUAUUUACUUAUUCAAUGUGUAUAACACCCCAUUAGUGCAAGCACUACACUAGGGAGUUUAUACUAGAAUAAAAUUUACAAACCCUCAGUCUGUUCUUUACGAUGUAGCCAUAUGUAAUGUUAGUCUAACAAUCUUUUCUGCAUUUCAAAGGAUCCAUAGGAAGUGAUGCCCUGACCCUUCUCAUCACCACCUUCUUUGUUGUGGAGGCUGUUGAGGUAACCUAACAAGUGGCUUUGGUUUAAUAUGUAGUUUAUUUGCUUUGCAUUUAGUAAUAAUUUUGGGUGAACUUUUGCAACUACACUGAACCAAUAAAAACCUUCUAAAGAGCUCUGAUGUAUUGUCUUCUGUUUAUAAAUGAAUGUCAUACAAGCAGGGUACAAUGGUGUGUCUUAAAAUGUGCUUAACCACUUGUGGAUCUAUACCAGUCUAUAUUUGAUGCUCCUGGCCUGGACAGAACUUUUUGUUAAUCAGAAGUAUUUUCUAUAAAUAAAAUUGAGAUGAGAAUCUAGUAACUGCUUUACUGUGGAACCAUCCAUGUUAAAGAAAUAGAAAAACAUAAUUAAUUGGAAAUACCUAACUAGCCAGGGAAAGGAGUACUAGGAUGAAUAGUUAUUGAUUUGGUAUGGACCUUAUAAGAUGUGGCUUCCAAUGUCCUGGGUGAGUUCAUUGUUUAUGGUUUUUAUCUUCCAAACUCACUAGAUAGUAAUGCUGAUGGCACAGUGGGAUCCACCUUUCAUCAGAAAGGAGGGGGGUCACCAACCACUGUAUUGUUGAUUCUAAGUGCAUAGGUUUACUUACAAGCAUUACUCUGAUUUCAUUACCACCACAGCUGCUGUCUUCCUGAUGCUGUAUUAAUAUUUCAACAUUCCUGUUUUUCAUUUUGCUAUAUUAGCUGUCUUAAUAAGUAAUUAGCAUCUUUUAAAAUGCAAUGUUGUAGAAUUCCCCCCUUCCAAUAUAACUGAAUAUAUUUGCAUAUAGUUUUUACUUCUACUUCUAAAAUUAAACUGUUGUAAAACAUUGUUCCAUGCAUAACCUAUUAGUUUGCAAUGUCCUAGGCAGCCUUUUCUGUACAUACAGUACAAUUUUCAGGUUUUUAGUUUUUGCUGAACCAUAAUGUGAAUUGUGGAAAUGCACCUCAUAGAGGAUGGCUAGCAUUUUCAGUUGUGCUCUAUAUGUUCAGUUGUGCUCUAUAUGUUCAAGUAUUUCACUACAAAAAUUCAGAAUUGUGCUAGGCCUAUAAAAUUGUUUGCAUUUAUUUAAUGUAUGCUUCUUUUUGAGGCAUGGAGCCAUGAAUGUUUGUUCUCUCCUCUUUUUUUUCACAUCAUUACUCUGAUGCUGCUUGAUUAGCUCCCUCCCCAGUCAUGAUUGGUAAUUAAAAUAGGCAUUAAAAUUAGUCACUUAGCAAUUUUGCUGUUCAAUUGGCAAUUAAAUUACUUAAUUGCAAUUAAAGUCCUAAUUUUAAUUGGCAAAAUGAUAGAUGUAGAUUUAAGAUAAUAUGUAUAAAUACUUUAAUAAGUGUCUAUAUAAGGAUUACUUAAUUACUCAACUUGAAGUUUAUGUUGUUAACUUCAGAACUUUAAAAUGAGCAAUGAAAUUUUAUAUUAUAUCUAUUCUAAAGGUAUGGCAAUCAGAUAUGCAAUGUGCCACUAUAGUGGCCCAGAUAUUAGUUACUUUAGUAAUGUAUAGAUGCAGCAUGGAAUAAGCAGCCUAACAGUUAGCAGAGCAUGGGAAUGUUUCUUAUAUAGUAGCACAAUUUAAAUCAACGGAGCUUACUCAGGAGUAAGCAUGUGCAGGAUAUAGGUCUUCGCCAAAGUCUGUUAAAUUUCUAAUUGAAAUGAGUGGCUGCUUUACUGAACAAACAGAACUUGUAAAUAUGGAUAAGAAAGCAUCAGAAUGCUGAAAACUUUUAGUAACGCUGUGCUGAUGUUGGCUAGCAUGGGUGAUUACAAUUCAAGCACCAUCAAAAUGCAGUAAGACAUAAAAUCUUCCAGCAAAUUUACUUCAUGUUGGCAUGAGCACAUACAAAGGAAAAAACAAGCUUUGUGGAAAUAGGAAAUUUAGGCAGAUGUGGGAUGGAGGGGGACAAGGAAUGAAGAAAACCUGCACCAAGCAAAAUAACUAUAAAAUAACUGUGGAAUAAUAGGAGCCUAUUCCUCAUUUGCAGCUAUUCAGCCAGCUUCCUCUUGAAACACAGUUUGAGUAUGAAUUUACAGUUCUCCUAAGUAUACUUUGAGAGAAAAGAUCGUAAGAGGAGACAUCCAGUGUGGGUUAAAAUGUAGACUUGGAAGUUACAAGCAGCUCCAUUUUUUGAAUAUGACACAGCAAUAAUCCUGAGGAAGCUUUAUGUUUAGUCUAAUAUGAAGCAAUCUCAGAUGCUUGAAUCAUCAUCAUCAUAGAACUGCAGAGCUGGAAGGGACCAUAUGGGUCACCAAGUCCAGCCCCUGUCAGGGAGUCACAGUGGGUCAUUGAACUCCCAACCUCUGGCUUCACAGCCAGAGACCUAAACCAUUGAGCUAUCAUCUGUUCUAUUAAAUGAAUGUUUUGUCACAUCUGCACAAUUCUGCUCCACAGAUUAAAA
Molecule: non-coding RNA, 4000 nt
Organism: Pogona vitticeps (central bearded dragon)
Lineage: Eukaryota; Metazoa; Chordata; Lepidosauria; Squamata; Agamidae
Source: RefSeq, a predicted model, not a curated record